This 429-nucleotide ribosomal RNA is filed under the name Actinomycetes bacterium. RNAcentral's name for it is "Actinobacteria bacterium partial 16S ribosomal RNA". It matches the Rfam family "Bacterial small subunit ribosomal RNA", at positions 355 to 776 of the family's 1533-position model. The record is from RNAcentral. Lineage: Bacteria; Bacillati; Actinomycetota; Actinomycetes.
UAGGGAAUCUUCCGCAAUGGGCGAAAGCUUGACGGAGCAACGCCGCGUGAGUGAUGAAGGUCUUCGGAUCGUAAAACUCUGUUAUUAGGGAAGAACAAAUGUGUAAGUAACUAUGCACGUCUUGACGGUACCUAAUCAGAAAGCCACGGCUAACUACGUGCCAGCAGCCGCGGUAAUACGUAGGUGGCAAGCGUUAUCCGGAAUUAUUGGGCGUAAAGCGCGCGUAGGCGGUUUUUUAAGUCUGAUGUGAAAGCCCACGGCUCAACCGUGGAGGGUCAUUGGAAACUGGAAAACUGGAGUGCAGAAGAGGAAAGUGGAAUUCCAUGUGUAGCGGUGAAAUGCGCAGGGAUAUGGAGGAACACCAGUGGCGAAGGCGACUUUCUGGUCUGUAACUGACGCUGAUGUGCGAAGGCGGGGGGAUCAAACAGG